Molecule: non-coding RNA, 28 nt
Filed under: Rattus norvegicus (Norway rat)
Lineage: Eukaryota; Metazoa; Chordata; Mammalia; Rodentia; Muridae
Source: RNAcentral
CAUGUUCUGAAAAGAGAGGGGCCUCCUA